This 430-nucleotide unclassified non-coding RNA is filed under the name fungal sp. Its description in RNAcentral is "partial internal transcribed spacer region". The stretch from base 1 to 46 matches the Rfam family "Eukaryotic small subunit ribosomal RNA", at positions 1786 to 1831 of the family's 1831-position model. The record is from RNAcentral. Lineage: Eukaryota; Fungi.
AAGUCGUAACAAGGUUUCCGUAGGUGAACCUGCGGAAGGAUCAUUAACACGUAUCCACGUUUAUCAACCAACGAGAACCUGUUUUCACCUCUCCCUUUGCCUGGAAUGAACUGAGUUGUAGUGUAAGUAUUGUUUGGGUCGUAUUCGUGCGACAGCUUACCCGACCACUGGGACCGAAAUCGCAAGAGAGUAUGGCGCCCGACAGUUGAAUCCAGGUUCUAAAAGGACAAACCCCGCUUGGCUUGCUUUUGUCUCCAAACAAGACAGUGGCUUGUCAGGCAAACCCCCAUAACCUAUUUCACCCCGAAACAAUUUUGCUAGUUGACUUUUUAUAUGUUGUUGUAACGUCCUCUCGAGGGCAUUGCGGCACACGUUUAAAUUACUUGAACGUUAAAAAAUACAACUCUUAGCAAUGGAUAUCUUGGUUCUC